UUUAAGCAUAUCACUCAGUGGAGGAAUCACAAGCAACUGCGAUUGCUUCAGUAACGGCGAGUGAACUGGCAGAAUGUGUCUCAGCCUGAAAGUGGAUCCAACUGCACUGCAAUGUGCAACCGGCUCUUGUGAGAUUCAACAGAUGCUGUGGGUUGUGGAGCGGUCGGCUGUGCCUUGGUCAGGCCAUGCACCACGAAGGUCCCUGGAAUGGGCCGCGACAUAGGGAUACUGUCCUGUAUGGUGCUGUGUGCUGGACUGGCCCUGGUGUGGCUGGCUGCAUCCUGGAGUAGAGUUGCUUGGGACUGCAGUUUGAAGUGCGACGUGUAUCCGUCGCAAGGAGAAACACUGACAUGGGACCGAUAGCGCACAAGUAGAGUGAUUGAAGGAUGCAAAGGACCUUGCAAAGGGGGUUAAAAGUCCCUGAAGCCUCGACAGGAACGGCGGAGAUUGGUGCUGUGAUGGGCUUUGUGGUCAGAUUGGACCUCUGGACCCAGGUGUGUUCGACGCUGGUCGUCGUUCCCCUGGGCCAGUUCAGGCUCCAGGCCACGGUGAUCCCUCGCGAGGGUGAACCAGAUUGGAUUCCAAGCAACCUUGGGCUGGCCCGGGGCUGGCCGAUGAGCUCCGUCCUGAAAGGUGGAAUGUAUCUUGGCAGUUUCGCGGUGGCAAGCAGCUUGCCUGAGCCUGAGGGUAGCAGAUCAGAGAACAGAAGUUAUAUCACUCAGAAAACACCCAGUUUGGGAGCGACCUCUGUCGAGGCUUUGUGUCUGAUUGUGAGCGAGAUCGGUGUGCCUGACCUGGUUUGUCUGUGGACAUUCCAGCGACCAUGCCUGGCCAUGGCAUGGAUGCUGGCGGCUGUAUGGUGGCUGCACCAUUCUGAUGGUGGCUCCUGUGUGGCUGCUGGCUCCCCAGACGGUGCAUGGAUCGGAAGGCAGUUGAGCUUGGUCUAGCAGGGCCACUCUCUGCCCGUCUUGAAACACGGACCAAGGAGUCUAUGGAGCUUGGAUAUCUGAUGGUGUGAUCAACAAACCACAGGAUGUGGUGAAGGCAACAUUCCCAGAUGGUGCAUUCCUUGUUUGUGUGUGGCUGGCAAAGGGGGCACAACAUGGCAAACCCACCGUGGCAUGUGGCAGGUCUGUGCCCAGCUUGGGAAGCCUGUUCCUCCGACCGAGAAUGAUUCUGUCUGCUCGGUGUGCCAGAAGGAGAGAGACGACGAUGAAUGCCGUUUGCUGCAUGGGACACCAGUCCCGAAGUCCAGUGGACAGGGUUCUGAGUGCUUACAAGGUCCAUGGGACCCGAAAGGUGGUGAACUAUACCAUGCUAUGGUGAAGCUGUGGGAAACUGCAGUGGAGGCCAGCAGCUGUUCUGACGUGCAAAUUGUGUAGCCUGAGCGUGGCAUAGGGGUGAAAGGCCAAUCGAGCCACCUAGUAGCUGGUUCCCUUCGAAGUUUCCCUCAGGAUAGCCAGGUUCGAAUGCAGAGCUGAUUCAAGUGGUUGUGUCCGGUAAAGCAACGCAUGAGAGGCCAUCUGUGGGCAGGACUUCCUGCUCACCCUAUUCUCGAACUGUGAAUGGGCACGGCAACACCCAUCAAGGCAUGCUUCUUCACUGAGCCUGAGUCGGUAUCAAAGCCGUUCUGAGGGAUUCUGAGCGUGUUUUUAGAGGUGGCAGCUCCACCCAGGGCCAUGGGCCCUCCUGUGUGUGGUCUCUGUGACGCCACAAGAGUGAGCCCUGAGCCAUCGUCGUCAUUCUGACAAGAGUUGCUGCCAACAGCUGAACAGAUGUGCCUAUGUGGACCAGGAUUGGUAAGCAGUGCUGGUGAUGCGGGAUGCUCCGAGAGUGAACUUACAGGACCAGAGUGCUGGCUCAUACACAGAUCCCACAAAGGAUGUUGCCUGCUAGGGAUAGCAGGACGGUGGCCAUGAAGGUUGGAACCCGCUAAGGAAUGUGUAACAACUCACCUGCCGAAGCAAGCAGCUCCGAAAAUGGAUGGUGCCCAAGUCAGUGAAGCUACAAUUGCCUUACAGUUCACCGCUGCUGUGGCAGCAUUGCAGAGCAUCAGCGUGUAGAAGGGUCAUUGGAGAUUGUUCCCAAGGUUGGGCUUGAGUCCAGCCGACGUGUCUUCUGGCGCAGAUCUUGGUUGCAGUAGCGAAUACUCCAUCUGAUGAAGAGCAGAACAAUCAUGCUGUGUGCGGUUGAGGACAGGAGUGGAGCAGGUUUUCACAUCUAACAGCCGUUGAAUGUGGGUCAGCCGACCGUGAGCCAAGUGGUAAUUCACCAGACAACCAAAGCUGUCGUUCUCUCUGGCGGAGGAAGCAGACAGGGUCUGUCGGACACUAGGGCCGUGUCGCCCUCGGACAGUGGCCGUCACAACCGGUGUCUUCUCUCUGAACCUUGUGUGUGGCAGGACUGGCAAACAGGCAAGCAAGUGCAACAUUCUGCUGUGAUGGGCCUGGGGAGCUCUCGGAUGGCAGCAUCCAUGAUGGUGGCAAGCAGGACUUGGGGCAGUGCCGCCCCUGAGGAGUUAUCGUUUCCUUCUGAUUCAUCACCCCUGGAACGGGGCACUGAUUGGCAUGACAGAUGAUGGUGUGGCUCGCUGCUCAGCAUGACAAUGCAAACUCUGCGUUGAUGGAUCUGUGUUUGUCUGACAUUCCUAUGGAAACCACAGGGUUCGCCCUGCAAAAGGACAUGAUCGGUUGGCACUGCCUCCACUGAAACUCCUGUGGGACUUGGUCCCCUGAUCCCUGGUUCUCGUACUGAAUCACCGCAGCCGGUCUCCUCGACUGGAAGUCGCUUGUCCACGGACUGAAUGCAGCUAAGGGAAGUCGGCAAACUGGCCAUGUACCUUCGGAAGAUGUGGUGGCUCCAGAAGUCAGGCCGCAGGGCCCAGCUGUGGGCAGUGUGUUGUGGUGGCUCGGCCGCCCUGGCUAGUGGUCUCGGCCAUUGGUCCAGGGAUUGGCUGCCACUGCACUGCUGCCACGCGGUUGGGGACCGCCUGGUCCAACAAAGUUGGCCGAUGGUCCAUCCUUGUGGCCACAUAGUGGCUCAUGUGGAACUGAUGCUGUGCAAGGGAAUCUGACUGUUUAAUUGAAACCCAGCUUUGUGAAGGGAUCAGCUGGCUGGUCCCAUGAGGUGACUUCUGCCCAGUGCUCUGAUUGUCAAUGCGAAGAGAUUCAGCCAAGCGCGGGUAAACGGCGGGAGUAACUAUGACUCUCUUAAGGUAGCCAAAUGCCUCGUCAACCAAUUAUUGACGCGCAUGAAUGGAUCAACGAGAUUCCUGCUGUCCCUAGUUGCCGUCUGGUGAACCAACAGCCAAGGGAACGGGCUUGGAUGUGUCAGCGGGGAAAGAA
This 3344-nucleotide ribosomal RNA is filed under the name Trachelomonas ellipsoidalis. RNAcentral describes it as "partial large subunit ribosomal RNA". It matches the Rfam family "Eukaryotic large subunit ribosomal RNA", at positions 33 to 2408 of the family's 3401-position model. The record is from RNAcentral. Lineage: Eukaryota; Euglenozoa; Euglenophyceae; Euglenales; Euglenaceae.